This 76-nucleotide transfer RNA is filed under the name Methanobrevibacter sp. RNAcentral's name for it is "tRNA-Ala". It matches the Rfam family "tRNA". Rfam says of the family: Transfer RNA (tRNA) molecules are approximately 80 nucleotides in length. Their secondary structure includes four short double-helical elements and three loops (D, anti-codon, and T loops). The record is from RNAcentral. Lineage: Archaea; Methanobacteriati; Methanobacteriota; Methanobacteria; Methanobacteriales; Methanobacteriaceae.
GGGCCUGUAGCUCAUUUGGGAGAGCAUCCGCCUUGCAAGCGGAAGGUAGUGGGUUCGACUCCCAUCAGGUCCACCA